CCCCCGCGGAAAGCUACGGAUGUGCUGAACCACCAGGCAAAAGGGUCGUCACCAAGGUCACCCUUCACCCAGGCCCCAGGGAGACACCGUUUCCACCUAGCCCCAGCCCUGGGCACUCUGACAACAUGAGCAACUUGUCAAAGGACAGGGCAUGUCCACGGGACCGAUGCCAGAGCUGGCAAGAACCUUAAAGGCCAUCCGGUCAGUGCCCUAUUUUGUACUCAGGAAACUGAAACCCAGAGGGACAAAAGACACGGCUGAAGUGCCAUGACCAGAGCCAGAGCGGCAAUUCGGGUCUCGGGCCGGCCGACCCGAAGUACUCUGGGGCCUGCACACUCGGGGCGUGGCCGAGAGCUGUGGUCACACAGGCGGCCAGCACAGCACCCCACGUGGGCUCUCUGGGGGCACCCCCAUACUUAAAAGAGCAAACACGUGUUCCUUUCAUCUCUACCAAGUCAAGACUUUUCUGGUUAAGGUACAGCAGAAAGACUUUACCACGGCAGCCUCGCCAUCCCCAGGCCUGGAGGCUGACGCUGAUUACCCUGAAGCCCAUGCCCGAUCGGACCAGCUCAAGCCACCAGAGUCGGGGAACAGGUGGAAAUACUUGCAGAAACACGGGUUGUCCUUCCAGUCGCCAACUAAACAGUGUCCAAAAGUCAGAGCAACAGCUGAGAACGAGCCAACGAUGUCUUCCGUAGAAACAUGCAUGUGACACCCGCCCCCCCACCACCCCAUGCACACUGCUUUGGUCUCUUUAAACAAAUUAUUUUUUUUCUUUUGUUCUGUCAGGUAGUUACUAAUAGAGAGCACAAAAAAAACGUCCUGGGCAGUUGGGGCGCCCGGGCGGCUCAGUCGGUUGAGCGUCUCACUCUUGGUUUUGGCUCAGGUCAUGAUCUCACAGGUCAUGGGUUCAAGCCCUCCAUCAGGCUCCACGCUGACAGCUCAGAGCCUGCUUGGGAUUCUGUCUCUCCCUCUCCCUCUGCCCCUCCCCCCACUCUCUCUCUUCUCUAAUACAAUAGAUUUUUGAAAAUAAAAAAAGAAACGGG
Long non-coding RNA from Acinonyx jubatus (cheetah), 1046 nucleotides. RefSeq lists it as uncharacterized. The record is from RefSeq and is a predicted model, not a curated record. NCBI's taxonomy places the organism in Eukaryota, Metazoa, Chordata, Mammalia, Carnivora, Felidae. The transcript has 4 exons.